Molecule: long non-coding RNA, 1934 nt
Organism: Scylla paramamosain (green mud crab)
Lineage: Eukaryota; Metazoa; Arthropoda; Malacostraca; Decapoda; Portunidae
Exons: 2
Source: RefSeq, a predicted model, not a curated record
UCCUUUAUUGUAGUUUUGUCUUCAGUAAAAAAUAUACACUUUUUUUUUUAUGUAGGAGGGCACCAGAGAUCUCCAAACAACACCACAUGGGCAACAUCUGUCUUAUCAUAAAUUCUGUCUGGUCAACAGUGACUUGAGAUAUAAAUAAAAGAUAAAUGAUUUCCAUCAGGACUGUCAUGCAGUUAGACAGAUGGCAUGUCCAGUGCCUGUCCAACACAUUACUAUUGCUAUAGCACCAAGGCUACUAGUGUUGAAGGUCUGGACUGUUUUUCAUAUAUUCUUUCAUCUAAACAUUUAUUAAAGCUUGAUAUUUUUACAUAUUAAUGUCAUUUUUCAUAGUAAGCACAGCAUUCUCUCUUUGUAACUGUUCCCAAGUACCUUGCUUGUUACCUAAAAAUACCCAAAUUCAACUAAAAAGUGUAAAACAAGUAAUGUGACCUAUGUAGUGAAAAGUUUAGAGUCCCCUGUCUUGUACUACUAGUCAUGAGGGUCACUCCCUUUGCAAUCACUUCACACCACUCUGGUUGUGACUGCUGUAAAGAACACCAACUGUCUUUUUCUUUUAUCUGCUAGUACUGGCAGAGAAACCUGGCCUGACAGCAAGACAGCUUUCCCAAUCUUCUUCAGUAAUGCCACUCAUGAAUGGUGGAUUGAAGAAAUUAGACUUUCUACAAUGGGAAAAUCAAAUUUGAUGGUCUUUGGAAUGUAUUAACUCUUAUUAUAUCAAGUGUUAUAAAGCAAUACUGGUGUAGUUUGCACCACUGUAGUAAGUAAAAUAGCAUUGCAUGUGUCUGGUACUUAAUGUAAAUCUGAGGACUGUGUGCAGGACAUGAAUGAGUUAGCCAACUUUGAGACCAAUGACGAACAGUUGUGGAACUGGCCAGAGGGGAGGCAGCCAUGGAGUCUGUCCUGUUCCAACACUAUCUGGGACAACCCACCCUGUAUUACAAAGUCACAAAGGCUCUUGUUAUUCUGGCCAUAACCACCAGUGUGCAUUCUCACAUAGGCAGCAACAGCCAGCUCCACACACACCAUGGUGGACAAGACACUGUGCCUUGCUGCAAGUGAGGCAGCGUACAGACUCUAUGAUGUCUACAGCCUGUACAGUUGGGCCCAGUCUGAACCAACCCUCAGGUGAGAACAAAGAUGGCCAAACAGAUAGACUGCCAGACAGAUGCUUUCUAGUUAUGAAGCAGCAAAAUGUGUGAGUGGGAAUAAUAGUGUCUGUGAGGAUGUGAAAGAUUUGUUGCAACUUUAUUCCUAUAGAAACCAUUAUUCAGUUGUAAGAUAAUGCAUACCUGGUAUCAUAUACCAUAAUUAAAUGAUUUGGUAGAAAUACAGUGUUGAUUUCCCACAUAUCAAAACAAGACAGGAAUACUUGGACCAGCCAAUGAGUAAAAGCAUCAGUCAGUGGCAGCAUUACCAUGUUUGGAUGACAGAAUUGUUGAAACAGAAUACAUACGGGAACUGCCACAUGUUUUGUGUAGCUUCCUUUAAGUUCUGGUCUUAUGUUUGCUGAAGACUUCAAUCAAGUGCUGCAAAUAUUUUCUUCUUAAUAACUAUUAUAUAAACUAGAUGAGGAUAACAAAGAAAACCCUAGAGUUUAUUUUUUUUGUAUAGUUUUAUUCUUGUGGAUGAACUUUUUUCCCUUGAGCAUGUCUUCCUUAUAUUUUUAAAGAUAAAAAAUUUCAAAAUAUGGCUAUGAUUCCUUUUAACAUUAAUCAUUAUAUAUGUAAUUUCUACGACUGUGAAAAAAUCUUUUGAAUGUAUCAAACAGCAUAUUAAUAAAUCAUAAACAAACCAUGUAUCAGAAAGAGUGCAGAGGUUUCAUUUGGCAGUCAUGUGAUGCAAAAGUGCAUAUAUAGAAAAUAUAUGGAAGACCAAGAAGUUGGCUCUGUGUCAUAAGAAUAGAAGAAAUUAACAUGACUGCAUAA